GGCCAGACUCCUACGGGAGGCAGCAGUGAGGAAUAUUGGUCAAUGGGCGAGAGCCUGAACCAGCCAAGUCGCGUGAGGGAAGACGGUCCUAUGGAUUGUAAACCUCUUUUGCCGGGGAGCAAAAAGCGGUACGCGUACCGCAUCGAGAGUACCCGGAGAAAAAGCAUCGGCUAACUCCGUGCCAGCAGCCGCGGUAAUACGGAGGAUGCGAGCGUUAUCCGGAUUUAUUGGGUUUAAAGGGUGCGUAGGCGGGCUUUUAAGUCAGCGGUAAAAAUUCGGGGCUCAACCCCGUCCGGCCGUUGAAACUGGGGGCCUUGAGUGGGCGAGAAGAAGGCGGAAUGCGUGGUGUAGCGGUGAAAUGCAUAGAUAUCGCGCAGAACUCCGAUUGCGAAGGCAGCAUGCCGGCUCCACACUGACGCUGAGGCACGAAAGCGUGGGUAUCGAACAGGAUUAGAUACCCUAGUA
RNAcentral lists this ribosomal RNA (465 nucleotides) under uncultured bacterium. Its description in RNAcentral is "bacterial SSU rRNA". It matches the Rfam family "Bacterial small subunit ribosomal RNA", at positions 329 to 792 of the family's 1533-position model. The record is from RNAcentral.